This 457-nucleotide ribosomal RNA is filed under the name uncultured bacterium. RNAcentral's name for it is "bacterial SSU rRNA". It matches the Rfam family "Bacterial small subunit ribosomal RNA", at positions 355 to 825 of the family's 1533-position model. The record is from RNAcentral.
UCGAGAAUCUUCCACAAUGGGCGAAAGCCUGAUGGAGCGACGUCGCGUGAUUGAUGAAGUCUUUCGGGAUGUAAAGAUCUUUUAUGAAGGAGAAAGGCCGCAAGGCUUGAUAGUACUUCAUGAAUAAGGGGUUGCUAAACUCGUGCCAGCAGCAGCGGUAAUACGAGUGCCCCGAGCGUUAUCCGGAAUUAUUGGGCGUAAAGGGUGUGUAGGUGGCAGUGUUAGUCGUGUGUCAAAGCUCCCGGCCCAACCGGGAAAAGGCAUACGAAACGGCACAGCUCGAGAGUGUGAGGGGUCUAUGGAACUCAUGGUGUAGGGGUGAAAUCCGUUAAUAUCAUGGGGAACACCGAAGGCGAAGGCAGUAGACUAGCACAUUUCUGACACUGAAACACGAAAGCGUGGGUAGCGAAUGGGAUUAGAUACCCCCGUAGUCCCUGAGCGGGCUGGCAAGGCGCAU